Molecule: transfer RNA, 68 nt
Filed under: Myotis brandtii (Brandt's bat)
Lineage: Eukaryota; Metazoa; Chordata; Mammalia; Chiroptera; Vespertilionidae
Rfam family: tRNA
About the family: Transfer RNA (tRNA) molecules are approximately 80 nucleotides in length. Their secondary structure includes four short double-helical elements and three loops (D, anti-codon, and T loops).
Source: Rfam by way of RNAcentral
GACCAGGUGGCUCAGUUGGUUAGAGCAUUGUCCUGAUACACCAAGGUUGAGGGUUCGAUCCCUGGUCA